Molecule: ribosomal RNA, 321 nt
Filed under: uncultured bacterium
Lineage: Bacteria
Description: bacterial SSU rRNA
Rfam family: Bacterial small subunit ribosomal RNA
Source: RNAcentral
GACGAACGCUGGCGGCGUGCUUAACACAUGCAAGUCAGGGAGAAAAGGGUAGCAAUAUCCUGAGUAAACCGGCGAACGGGUGAGUAACACGUAGGCAACUUACCUUGAGAACGGGAAUAACCCCGGGAAACCGGGCUAAUACCCGAUGUUAUUCCGUUGUAGCAUUGCAAUGGAAUAAAAAGCCCGCAAGGGCGUCACAAGAUAGGCCUGCGUCCCAUUAGAUAGUUGGCGGGGUAACAGCCCACCAAGUCGACGAUGGGUAGCUGGUCUGAGAGGACGAUCAGCCACACUGGAACUGAGACACGGUCCAGACUUCUACGG